ACGAGAAAGCCUGGCUUCGGUCGGGUGAGUAAAGUGGCGCACGGGUGAGUAACGCGUAGGUAAUCUACCCUUAUAUCUGGGAUAACUCCACGAAAGCGGAGCUAAUACCGGAUACGCUUUUUGUUACGCGAGUAACGGGAAGGAAAGGUGGCCUCUGAUUCAAGCUACCGUAUAGGGAUGAGCCUGCGUACCAUUAGCUAGUUGGUGGGGUAAAGGCCCACCAAGGCGACGAUGGUUAGCGGGUCUGAGAGGAUGAUCCGCCACACUGGAACUGGAACACGGACCAGACUCCUACGGGAGGCAGCAGUGAGGAAUUUUGCGCAAUGGGGGCAACCCUGACGCAGCGACGCCGCGUGGGUGAAGAAGGCUUUCGGGUUGUAAAGCCCUGUCAAGUGGGAAGAAGUGCUAUGUGGUUAAUACCCAUGUAGUUUGACGGUACCACUGGAGGAAGCACCGGCUAACUCCGUGCCAGCAGCCGCGGUAAUACGGAGGGUGCGAGCGUUGUUCGGAAUUACUGGGCGUAAAGGGCGCGUAGGCGGCCAUAUAAGUCAGUUGUGAAAGUCCGCGGCUCAACCGUGGAAGUGCAGCUGAAACUGUAUGGCUUGAGUAUAGGAGAGGGAAGUGGAAUUCCCGGUGUAGAGGUGAAAUUCGUAGAUAUCGGGAGGAACACCGGUGGCGAAGGCGACUUCC
This 690-nucleotide ribosomal RNA is filed under the name uncultured bacterium. RNAcentral's name for it is "bacterial SSU rRNA". It matches the Rfam family "Bacterial small subunit ribosomal RNA", at positions 66 to 729 of the family's 1533-position model. The record is from RNAcentral.